AUUGUAUUGGAAUGAUGGCGACGUAAAAGCUCGCCAGAGUACCAAUUGGAGGGCAAGUCUGGUGCCAGCAGCCGCGGUAAUUCCAGCUCCAAUAGCGUAUAUUAAACUUGUUGCAGUUAAAAAGCUCGUAGUUGAACUUCAGCCUGUUCGAUAAGUGCCUUUGCGGCGUCUGAUCGAGUUGGCUUAUCUUUUUACUUUGAGAAAAUUAGAGUGUUUCAAGCAGACUUUUGUCUUGAAUACUUCAGCAUGGAAUAAUAGAGUAGGACCUUGGUUCUAUUUUGUUGGUUUCUGAACCUGGGUAAUGGUUAAUAGGAACGGUUGGGGGCAUUCGUAUUUAACUGUCAGAGGUAAAUUUCUUAGA
This 361-nucleotide ribosomal RNA is filed under the name Babesia crassa. Its description in RNAcentral is "bacterial SSU rRNA". It matches the Rfam family "Eukaryotic small subunit ribosomal RNA", at positions 503 to 924 of the family's 1831-position model. Lineage: Eukaryota; Apicomplexa; Aconoidasida; Piroplasmida; Babesiidae. The record is from RNAcentral.